UUUUCCUACGGGAGGCAGCAGUGAGGAAUAUUGGUCAAUGGGCGGGAGCCUGAACCAGCCAAGCCGCGUGAAGGAAGAAGGCGCCACGCGUCGUAAACUUCUUUUGUCGGGGAACAAAGGGCGCCACGUGUGGCGUUGUGAGUGUACCCGAAGAAAAAGCAUCGGCUAACUCCGUGCCAGCAGCCGCGGUAAUACGUAGGUGGCAAGCGUUAUCCGGAUUUAUUGGGCGUAAAGCGAGCGCAGGCGGUUGCUUAGGGCUGAUGUGAAAGCCUUCGGCUUAACCGAAGAAGUGCAUCGGCAACCGG
RNAcentral lists this ribosomal RNA (305 nucleotides) under uncultured bacterium. Its description in RNAcentral is "bacterial SSU rRNA". It matches the Rfam family "Bacterial small subunit ribosomal RNA", at positions 334 to 636 of the family's 1533-position model. The record is from RNAcentral.